GCUAAACGCGAAGAACCUUACCUAAACUUGACAUCCCUCGGACCGCUCCUUAAUCGGAGCCUUCCCUUCGGGGACUGAGGUGACAGGUGGUGCAUGGUUGUCGUCAGCUCGUGUCGUGAGAUGUUGGGUUAAGUCCCGCAACGAGCGCAACCCUUGCCUUUAGUUGCCAUCAUUAAGUUGGGCACUCUAGAGGGACUGCCGAGGAUAACUCGGAGGAAGGUGGGGAUGACGUCAAAUCAUCAUGCCCCUUAUGUUUAGGGCUACACACGUGCUACAAUGGCUGGUACAGAGGGCUGCAAACCGUGAGGUUAAGCCAAUCCCUUAAAGCCAGUCUCAGUUCGGAUUGUAGGCUGAAACUCGCCUACAUGAAGCUGGAGUUGCUAGUAAUCGCGGAUCAGAAUGCCGCGGUGAAUGCGUUCCCGGGUCUUGUACACACCG
RNAcentral lists this ribosomal RNA (438 nucleotides) under uncultured bacterium. RNAcentral's name for it is "bacterial SSU rRNA". It matches the Rfam family "Bacterial small subunit ribosomal RNA", at positions 954 to 1392 of the family's 1533-position model. The record is from RNAcentral.